GAUGAACGCUAGCUACAGGCUUAACACAUGCAAGUCGAGGGCAGCAUGAACUUAGCUUGCUAAGUUUGAUGGCGACCGGCGCACGGGUGAGUAACACGUAUCCAACCUGCCGAUGACUCGGGGAUAGCCUUUCGAAAGAAAGAUUAAUACCCGAUGGCAUAGUUCUUCCGCAUGGUGGAACUAUUAAAGAAUUUCGGUCAUCGAUGGGGAUGCGUUCCAUUAGGUUGUUGGCGGGGUAACGGCCCACCAAGCCUUCGAUGGAUAGGGGUUCUGAGAGGAAGGUCCCCCCACAUUGGAACUGAGACACGGUCCAAACUCCUACGGGAGGCAGCAGUGA
This 337-nucleotide ribosomal RNA is filed under the name uncultured bacterium. Its description in RNAcentral is "bacterial SSU rRNA". It matches the Rfam family "Bacterial small subunit ribosomal RNA", at positions 28 to 357 of the family's 1533-position model. The record is from RNAcentral.